Molecule: transfer RNA, 85 nt
Filed under: Acidimicrobiia bacterium
Lineage: Bacteria; Bacillati; Actinomycetota; Acidimicrobiia
Also listed under: 1 other name
Description: tRNA-Leu
Rfam family: tRNA
About the family: Transfer RNA (tRNA) molecules are approximately 80 nucleotides in length.
Source: RNAcentral
GCCCCGAUGCUGAAAUUGGUAGACAGACGCGCCUUAGGAGCGCGCGCCGAGAGGCGUGAGAGUUCGAGUCUCUCUUGGGGCACUA